UACGUAGGUGGCAAGCGUUACUCGGAAUUACUAGGCGUAAAGCGCAGGUAGGUGGCUUGAUAAGUCCGUAAUGAAAUCUCCCGGCUUAACUGGGAGGGGUUUAGGGAUACUGUCAGGCUUGAGUGUGGGAGAGGUAACUGGAAUUCCUGGUGUAGCGGUGAAAUGCGUAGAGAUCAGGAGGAACACCUAUGGCGAAAGCAGGUUACUGGCCCAAUACUGACACUGAGCUGCGAAAGCUAGGGGAGCAAACAGG
This 253-nucleotide ribosomal RNA is filed under the name uncultured bacterium. Its description in RNAcentral is "partial 16S ribosomal RNA". It matches the Rfam family "Bacterial small subunit ribosomal RNA", at positions 524 to 776 of the family's 1533-position model. The record is from RNAcentral.